RNAcentral lists this ribosomal RNA (803 nucleotides) under Allantonematidae sp. n. 1 PS-2022. RNAcentral's name for it is "SSU rRNA". It matches the Rfam family "Eukaryotic small subunit ribosomal RNA", at positions 191 to 995 of the family's 1831-position model. Lineage: Eukaryota; Metazoa; Nematoda; Chromadorea; Rhabditida; Allantonematidae. The record is from RNAcentral.
UACGGGACGAGUGCAUUUAUUAGAGCAAAACCAAACGGCUUCGGUCGUUUUAUGCUGACUCAGAAUAACUCAGCUGAUCGCACGGUCUUUGAACCGGCGACGUGUCUUUUGAGUAUCUGCCUUAUCAAUUUUCGAUGGUAGUGUAUUGGACUACCAUGGUGUUGACGGGUAACGGAGAAUAAGGGUUCGACUCCGGAGAAGGGGCCUGAGAAAUGGCCACUACGUCUAAGGAUGGCAGCAGGCGCGCAAAUUACCCACUCUCGGAAUGAGGAGGUAGUGACGAGAAAUAACGAGACCGUUCUCUAUGAGGCCGGUUAUCGGAAUGGGUACAAUUUAAACCCUUUAACGAGUAUCUAUGAGAGGGCAAGUCUGGUGCCAGCAGCCGCGGUAAUUCCAGCUCUCAAAAUGCAUAGAACCAUUGCUGCGGUUAAAAAGCUCGUAGUUGAAUCUAUGCUAGAGGCUUGGUCCAUUCCAUUGAAUGCGUACUAGGUUCUUUGGCUUUUUAUAGACGUCGGUUUUCUUGUUGUGGCCUUGAUUGGUGGCGGCAAGUAGCUGACAAUUUUACUUUGAACAAAUCAGAGUGCUUAACACAGGCGUUUUGCUUGUAUGCUUUUGCAUGGAAUAAUAGAAUAUGACUUCGGUCUAGUUUUAUUGGUUUUAUAGAUCGUUGUAAUGAUUAAAAGAGACAAACGGGGGCAUUCGUAUUGUUGCGUGAGAGGUGAAAUUCUUGGACCGUAGCAAGACGGCCUACAGCGAAAGCAUUUGCCAAGCUUGUCUUCAUUAAUCAAGAACGAAAGUCAGAG